UACGUAGGGGGCUAGCGUUGUCCGGAAUCAUUGGGCGUAAAGAGCGUGUAGGCGGUCCGGUAAGUCCGCUGUGAAAGUCGGGGGCUCAACCCUCGAAUGCCGGUGGAUACUGUCGGGCUAGAGUACGGAAGAGGCGAGUGGAAUUCCUGGUGUAGCGGUGAAAUGCGCAGAUAAUCAGGAGGAACACCUAUUGCGAAGGCAGCUCGCUGGGACGUAACUGACGCUGAGACGCGAAAGCGUGGGGAGCAAACAGGAU
RNAcentral lists this ribosomal RNA (256 nucleotides) under uncultured bacterium. RNAcentral's name for it is "partial 16S ribosomal RNA". It matches the Rfam family "Bacterial small subunit ribosomal RNA", at positions 524 to 778 of the family's 1533-position model. The record is from RNAcentral.